UAGGGAAUCUUCCACAAUGGACGAAAGUCUGAUGGAGCAACGCCGCGUGAGUGAAGAAGGUUUUCGGAUCGUAAAGCUCUGUUGUUGGUGAAGAAGGAUAGAGGCAGUAACUGGUCUUUAUUUGACGGUAAUCAACCAGAAAGUCACGGCUAACUACGUGCCAGCAGCCGCGGUAAUACGUAGGUGGCAAGCGUUGUCCGGAUUUAUUGGGCGUAAAGCGAGCGCAGGCGGAAUGAUAAGUCUGAUGUGAAAGCCCACGGCUCAACCGUGGAACUGCAUCGGAAACUGUCAUUCUUGAGUGCAGAAGAGGAGAGUGGAACUCCAUGUGUAGCGGUGGAAUGCGUAGAUAUAUGGAAGAACACCAGUGGCGAAGGCGGCUCUCUGGUCUGCAACCGACGCUGAGGCUCGAAAGCAUGGGUAGCGAACAGGAUUAGAUACCCUGGUAGUCCAUGCCGUAAACGAUGAGCGCUAGGUGUUGGGGACUUUUCGGUCCUCAGUGCCGCAGCAAACGCAUUAAGCGCUCCGCCUGGGGAGUACGACCGCAAGGUUGAA
This 552-nucleotide ribosomal RNA is filed under the name uncultured bacterium. RNAcentral's name for it is "partial 16S ribosomal RNA". It matches the Rfam family "Bacterial small subunit ribosomal RNA", at positions 355 to 898 of the family's 1533-position model. The record is from RNAcentral.